GCUUCCCUAACUCUGUGGAAAACCUAUUAAAGGUUUUUAUCUUCUUUUCUAGUUAUUAAUUCUUUGGGGAUCGGGGAAACUAGGAAACAUGGAAAAUACAGUGGGAGGGCAAUAUAAAGAUCAAGAUUUGCCAAGAUUCUGUGUUGAUAAAUAUUUAUUUCCACAUCUGUUUUCUAUGUGUUCCCUUUCUCUUUUCCUUCUCCCUUCUAACCCAACACACAGACAAAAGGAAUUGGAGGCUUAAACAAUUAACUGGUGACUGCAGGACUGGUUGUUUAAGAAUCUGGAUAAUUGAGUUCUAAUUUCUCCAUUUCUUCUACAAUUUGGUAAAUUAAAAAACAUUUUUGUGAUGCAGUCUCAUUUAUGGCAGUUAAGGACCAUAGUCAAAGGCUGGAAUUAAUUUCUGAUUAGUCUGAAGGAACAAUAUGUUACCUGGAUCAGAAAGAGAAUGCCAAAGUUGGAGAAUGAGUCACUUCUGCUGCCGUCAGAGCUGUUCCAGGAGCCUACGAAACUGAAGUCCAUUUUCAGGCACUCACUACCUUUGAUGCAUUUGAUGAGGAGCCUCAAACAGUGGAUUCCUCCUGGUUUGGCAGCCAAGAAAAGAUUUAUUUCAGUGUUUACACCUGCUGGAAAAUUGGGAAUUCCAGAAAUCUCACAGUGUCCAGACCAGUUUUCUUUACAAAUCUGGGAUGCAGCACCCUCUUUUGAAAAACAGAGAUCAGUUCUUAGACUUUGUACAUUUAUACCAGUUUUACUUCAUUGGUACCAGGGUGACUUGAAUUCUUGAAAAGGAUGCAGUUUCCUAGAAACUUUUAGAAGAAAAGCAUUAAAAUAAAAGUUGACCAUUGAAUGGC
This is a long non-coding RNA of Leopardus geoffroyi (Geoffroy's cat), 854 nucleotides long. RefSeq lists it as uncharacterized. The transcript is spliced from 4 exons. The record is from RefSeq and is a predicted model, not a curated record. NCBI's taxonomy places the organism in Eukaryota, Metazoa, Chordata, Mammalia, Carnivora, Felidae.